Molecule: long non-coding RNA, 528 nt
Organism: Bos taurus (domestic cattle)
Lineage: Eukaryota; Metazoa; Chordata; Mammalia; Artiodactyla; Bovidae
Source: Ensembl
GGAAGAUCCGCUGGAGGAGGAAAUGGCAAUCUACUCCAGUAUUCUUGCCUGGAAAAUCCCCUGGACAGAGGAGCCUGGAGGGCUGCAGUCCAUGGGGUCACAAAGAGUUGGACACGACUUGAGUGACUACGCAGACGACCCAGGCGGAUUCUUUACCGACUGAGCCACCUGGGAAGGCGGGGAAGCCCCACACCAUUGCCAAAGAGUUGUUUUUACAGGAAGCAGACUGCCCUCCAGAUGAAAACUGCUGACCACAAGAAGACCCUCAACUGGUCAAAACCAGAAGGUUGAUGAUGCUUGAAAGUUCACCUGGAUGCCAACCAAUCCUAGAAUUAUCCAGGAGCUGAUCACGCCCUGCUUCUCAAGCUCUGCUACACUCUUAAAACUCCUCACUACCCUCUCCAGGGUAUAAAAUGCAAGGAAAAGAACUGUUUACACUUUGCCUCCAGUUCGAGUGAUGUAAACUGAAGAAAGAUCUUCUACUCUGGCUAGUUUUAAAUGUCGCCUUCCCCUACAAGGUGAUGACAC